ACAAUUUGCCUCCUACUAAUGGGUAUUUCUCAGCAAAACUUAUGGUUUUGUAUCAUUUGUGUGAAGGCAGUGGUUGGAAGUAGACAUCUAUCUUUCCCCGAAAGACAGAUUAGUCUUCUGAUAAUUCUUCACAGGUGGAUUUCAAUACAACAAGCAUUUCUGUAGUCUUGCCUGAGUCAAGACUGAAUAUGUUGUUUUGCCAUUUGGACAUUCUUGUAAGACUUAGGAAACUGGUUUGAGCCUCUGUCCCACAACAAACUUUAGAGGAUAAAACAUUUCUGUCAUCUUUCAUGGAGGUCUUGGUGAAUGAAUAUGUGUACAAGAUUAUUAGAUAUUCAAGUUACUGAAAACAAUGGAGGCUGUACAAGAAUGUGCGAGUCAAGUUCUGCUUCAUUCAGAUGUUCAUUCGGUCAACGUUUGGGUAGAAUUUACUGUGUCUGUAGAAAAGAACAGGGACUUAAUAGACCCAGGGCACUUUCACAGGUGACCUGUGUCUAGUGUUGGCAGGAGAGAUCUCUUUCCUCCAAAAGGUGCUUGAUUUCAGUACCUGUUCCACAAUCUUUGCCUGAAGACACUUUCACUUGCAACUUGAUAAUGGGAAGGAAAAACCAUCAAGAAAAUAAAAAGUAUUAGCAGUUUGCAUCAACAUAUUCAGAUGCUUAUAGCCUUUUGUUUGUAAUAAAGAAAGAGCAAGACCUGACUAAAUGUCUCUUAUACUUUUUCUCAAAUUUUAUCACUGUUUAUCUUUUUAUCACUUACAGAGAGACAGGGAUCCCUUGUCAGGUUGCUUCUUUUGUUGAGUCUUCAAUCUUGUAAAAACCUGCUCAGCUGUUCCCUUUUCAUCCCAGGAUAACAAAAAAGGUCAAGUUGAGAAUAUGAAAUCCUACUCAAAUAUAUGCAGUAGUUUGUUACUAUGAAAGCUCUUCAAAGGAUUCUAGAACUGGACUCUAGCAAUAAGCUCUUAAUGAUCUCUUUAAAACCAGGCAUUGGACUGUUUUUCUACUGCACAAAAAUAUGUACAAGAUUCAUUUUUGAGCAGAAUUUAUCAAGAUGUCCCAAAAUGCACGUUUUCUGUUGUCUAUAUUGGAAGUUUGUGGUGAGGUGCCUGCCUUCUCCUUGGAGGACUGCUGUAUAAGGAGUUGAAAACUUCUAGAAAUGUUCUGUAGAACAACAACAACAACAACAACAACAACAACAACAACAAAAUCUGUCAGACUCUCCACUUGGUGGUUGUCACCAAGGACUUAGUAGUGAAUAUAGUGUUUUUGUUUCUUCAGAUCUAUAUCUCAGAUUCGUUACUCCAGAUUUGUUGAUGACAGAAUUACUGUAAUAUCAUUAACUAUGAACUCAAACUUACUGCCAUGAAAAAUUUCCUAUUGUAUUUUGUGGGAGCAGAACGACACAUGGGAAAGUAAGCAUAUGGUGCAAAGAUCCCACAUUCAUGUGAACAGUGAGAAAAGCCUUGAUAAUUAGAGCCUGAAAAAAAGCAGAAACACUUGCCAUAAGAUGAUACACAAAAGUAGAUUUAUUAGGGUGUUCUUAAAGGUUUCCAGAAGAUACCCAUUCCCUGAGUAAAAAAUGUGUCUGGUAAAAUAUUACAUUCCACCUCUGCCCACCAACAGUCUCUAUAACAUUACUUUAGAUUUUUUUAUAAGCAGAUGAAAUUGCUACCUCAGCAUUGGAAGUUCAGACAAAUGGGAUCAGGCUGCAUCAUUUUUUUUCUAAAGACUGUCAUUUAUUUAUUAUUUUUAGAACAUUUUCAUUUUGCUUUUUUAACUCUGAAUUUAGAAACUAAAGAGAUAAACAAGAACUCUUUGCCACGGAAAUGAAACAAUUUCUUUUUUCUGACUAGUCAAAUCAGUGACAGGAAGGGAGACUGACCCUGGCUCUGCUGUGUUUGAGAAGUGAGAUUAAUUAUGACUAUUUAUUUAUUUGCAUUCCAGUAGAGUCUAGAGGCCCCAUAAGAAAUCAGGUCCCCAUUGUACAGUGCACUUUAGCAAUACCAAGUAAAAGGUACUUUAUGUCAUUUAGAAGGUCAGAGUUAUUUUAUAUAAUCUAUGAAUCUUUUGUCCCUGUUCUGAAGUGUUUACAUUGAGUAAUUUGUCCUUCUCUGUGUCUAAAUGACUGCCUUAAGG
Apteryx rowi (Okarito brown kiwi) is the source of this 2135-nucleotide long non-coding RNA. NCBI's taxonomy places the organism in Eukaryota, Metazoa, Chordata, Aves, Apterygiformes, Apterygidae. The record is from Ensembl.